CAAAACUUGAAUACGCGUGUGCUGCUUGGGAUCCCUAUCUUCAAAAGGACAUCGCUUCUCUUGAGAGAGUCCAGAGAAAAGCAGCACGGUUUUGUAGCAACAAUUAUCAUCCCACAGCCAGUGUCACAGACAUGCUACACGAGUUAGGAUGGACCACCUUGGAGCUAAGAAGAACAAUGACUCGGCUAGCCUUGUUAUAUAAGAUGAGCCGAGGGCAAAUCGAUGUCGACACCGACACUCAUCUGAAUCCAAACACCGAACUUAGAACUCGCGCAAGCCAUCAAUAUAGAUAUAUACAAGACAAAGCCACAAAGAACACGUAUUUUUAUUCUUUUUUCCCUAGAACUAUAAGGCAUUGGAAUAGUCUACCAGCAGAG
Non-coding RNA from Paramuricea clavata, 377 nucleotides. The record is from the annotation of a GenBank genome assembly. Lineage: Eukaryota; Metazoa; Cnidaria; Anthozoa; Malacalcyonacea; Plexauridae.